This 189-nucleotide ribosomal RNA is filed under the name uncultured bacterium. Its description in RNAcentral is "partial 16S ribosomal RNA". It matches the Rfam family "Bacterial small subunit ribosomal RNA", at positions 1311 to 1500 of the family's 1533-position model. The record is from RNAcentral.
UUCGCCUUCAUGAAGCUGGAAUUGCUAGUAAUGGCAGGUCAGCAUACUGCCGUGAAUACGUUCCCGGGCCUUGUACACACCGCCCGUCACACCAUGAGAGUUGGAAAUACCCGAAGCCUGUGAGCUAACUUAAAGAGGCAGCAGUCGAAGGUAGAGCCAAUGAUUGGGGUGAAGUCGUAACAAGGUAUC